UUUGUUGCAAGGCUUCUUAGAAGGGUAUGUUGAUCUCUAGUUUUUUGAAGAUUUCCAUGAAGCGCUCAAACUGCUUUUCGUUUUCCUUCCUAGAGUAAUUUUUUGGGUAAGGAAGGGAUUUUUCAAAAACUUCUCUUUUUUUCUCUCAUUCUCUUCCUCACUCAUUUUUUCUUUUUCUCUCCUCUCACUCUAUUGUUUUUCUUUCUCUUUUUCAUUUUUUUCAUUUUCUCUCAAUCUCUCUCUUUCUUUGCUCUCAUUCUCUUGUUUUUCUUUCUCUUUUUCUCUCAACUUCUCUUUUUCUUUUCUCUCAUCUAAAAUUCUACCACUGCUAGUGACAACUGCCUUGCUCUCCCUUCUAGGCUUCCUG
Molecule: long non-coding RNA, 367 nt
Filed under: Vigna radiata
Lineage: Eukaryota; Viridiplantae; Streptophyta; Magnoliopsida; Fabales; Fabaceae
Description: long non-coding RNA (VRAD_LNC012323)
Source: RNAcentral